CCUACGGGGGGCUGCAGUGGGGGAUAUUGGUCAAUGGGGGGAACCCUGAACCAGCGACACCGCGUGAGGGAAGAAGGUUUUCGGAUUGUAAACCUCUGUUGUCGGGGAAGAUAAUGACGGUACCCGAUGAGGAAGCCACGGCUAACUACGUGCCAGCAGCCGCGGUAAUACGUAGGUGGCAAGCGUUGUCCGGAAUUACUGGGUGUAAAGGGAGCGUAGGCGGGAAGGCAAGUUGAAUGUUAAAUCUAUCGGCUCAACCGAUAGCCGCGUUCAAAACUGUCUUUCUUGAGUGAAGUAGAGGCAAGCAGAAUUCCUAGUGUAGCGGUGAAAUGCGUAGAGAUUAGGAGGAAUACCAGUGGCGAAGGCGGCUUGCUGGGCUUUUACUGACGCUGAGGCUCGAAAGUGUGGGGAGCAAACAGGAUUAGAUACCCCGGUAGUC
Molecule: ribosomal RNA, 439 nt
Filed under: uncultured Oscillospiraceae bacterium
Lineage: Bacteria; Bacillati; Bacillota; Clostridia; Eubacteriales; Oscillospiraceae
Description: bacterial SSU rRNA
Rfam family: Bacterial small subunit ribosomal RNA
Source: RNAcentral